This 65-nucleotide transfer RNA is filed under the name Marmota monax (woodchuck). RNAcentral's name for it is "tRNA.Ala". The record is from RNAcentral. Lineage: Eukaryota; Metazoa; Chordata; Mammalia; Rodentia; Sciuridae.
GGGUGGCUCAGUGGUAGAGUGCUUGCCUAGCAUGUGUGAGGCACAGGGUUUGAUUCUCAGCACCA